UACGGGGGGCUGCAGUGGGGAAUCUUGGGCAAUGGGCCAAAGCGUGAUCCAGCACUACCGCGUGUGUCAAGAUGCCCUUCGGGUUGUAAAGCACUUUUGUCCGGAAAGAAAUCCAUGUCUCUAAUACGGUAGGGGGAUGACGGUACCGGAAGAAUAAGCACCGGCUAACUUCGUGCCAGCAGCCGCGGUAAUACGUAGGGUGCGAGCGUUAAUCGGAAUUACUGGGCGUAAAGCGUGCGUAGGCGGUUUGUUAAGUCAGAUGUGAAAUCCCGGGGCUCAACCUGGGAACUGCAUUGGAUACUGGCAGUCUAGAGUAUGGCAGAGGUGAGUGGAAUUCCGAGUGUAGCGGUGAAAUUCGUAGAUAUUUGGAGGAAUCACCAGUGGCGAAGCAGCCUCACUGCCUAUACUGACGCUGAGC
RNAcentral lists this ribosomal RNA (418 nucleotides) under uncultured Burkholderia sp. RNAcentral describes it as "bacterial SSU rRNA". It matches the Rfam family "Bacterial small subunit ribosomal RNA", at positions 340 to 752 of the family's 1533-position model. The record is from RNAcentral. Lineage: Bacteria; Pseudomonadati; Pseudomonadota; Betaproteobacteria; Burkholderiales; Burkholderiaceae.